UACAGCCAUAUCAUAUUGAAAUACUAGUUCUCAUAAGAUCACUGAAGUUAAGCAACUUUAGUCUGGUCAGUACCUAACUGGGUGACUACUUAGGAAUAUCAGGUGCUGUAAG
Acanthosepion pharaonis is the source of this 112-nucleotide non-coding RNA. NCBI's taxonomy places the organism in Eukaryota, Metazoa, Mollusca, Cephalopoda, Sepiida, Sepiidae. The record is from the annotation of a GenBank genome assembly.